This 510-nucleotide ribosomal RNA is filed under the name Micropathus sp. PP1. RNAcentral describes it as "partial 16S ribosomal RNA". It matches the Rfam family "Bacterial large subunit ribosomal RNA", at positions 1822 to 2596 of the family's 2925-position model. Lineage: Eukaryota; Metazoa; Arthropoda; Insecta; Orthoptera; Rhaphidophoridae. The record is from RNAcentral.
UUUUUGAUUAAAAUAUAAAGUCUGACCUGCCCACUGAAUAAUGAAUUAAAGGGCCGCGGUAUUUAUGACCGUGCAAAGGUAGCAUAAUCAUUAGUCUUUUAAUUGAAGACUGGAAUGAAUGGUUUAACGAAAUAAAAACUGUCUCAAUAUGAAUAAUUGAAUUUAAUUUUUAAGUGAAAAAGCUUAAAUAAAAUUAGAGGACGAGAAGACCCUAUAGAGCUUUAUAUAUAAUUUUAUAAUAAGUAUUAGGUGAAAUUUAUCUAAUUAUAUUGUUAUAUAUUUUAUUGGGGUGAUAAGAAGAUAAAAUUAACUCUUUGUUAUUAGAAACAUAGAUUAAUGAAUAUUUGAUCCAUAAAUAGUGAUUAUAAGAUUAAGUUACCUUAGGGAUAACAGCGUAAUUUUUUUUGAGAGUUCUUAUCAAUAAGAAAGAUUGCGACCUCGAUGUUGGAUUAAGGAAUAUANAUUAGGUGAAGAAGUUUAAGUUAUAAGUCUGUUCGACUUUUAAAUCCU